This is a long non-coding RNA of Limulus polyphemus (Atlantic horseshoe crab), 1533 nucleotides long. RefSeq lists it as uncharacterized. The transcript has 2 exons. The record is from RefSeq and is a predicted model, not a curated record. NCBI's taxonomy places the organism in Eukaryota, Metazoa, Arthropoda, Merostomata, Xiphosura, Limulidae.
AACCCAUGAUUAUGCUGGAACUGAUGAAACUGGAUUGCCCAUGAUUAUGCUGGAACUGAUGAAACUGGAUAACCCAUGAUUAUGCUGGAACUGAUGAAACUGGAUUGCCCAUGAUUAUGCUGGAACUGAUGAAACUGGAUAACCCAUGAUUAUGCUGGAACUGAUGAAACUGGAUUACCCAUGAUUAUGCUAGAACUGAUGAAACUGGAUUACCCAUGAUUAUGCUAGAACUGAUGAAACUGGAUUGCCCAUGAUUAUGUUGGAACUGAUGAAACUGGAUAACCCAUGAUUAUGCUGGAACUGAUGAAACUGGAUUACACAUGAUUAUGCUAGAACUGAUGAAACUGGAUUACACAUGAUUAUGCUAGAACUGAUGAAACUGGAUUACACAUGAUUAUGCUGGAACUGAUGAAACUGGGUAACACAUGAUUAUGCUGGAACUGAUGAAACUGGAUUACACAUGAUUAUGCUAGAACUAGUGAAACUGGAUUACCCAUGAUUAUACUAGAACUGAUGAAACUGGAUGACACAUGAUUAUACUAAAACUGAUGAAACUGGAUUACACAUGAUUAUACUAGAACUGAUGAAACUGGAUUACACAUGAUUAUGCUAGAACUGAUGAAACUGGAUUGCCCAUGAUUAUGCUAGAACUGAUGAAACUGGAUUACCCAUGAUUAUAUCUUUAUUGUAUAUAUAUCUUGAUGAAUAUCAACGUAAUAUCUUCAAGUAUAGUAAAAUUGUACGAUAUUUAAAAAUGAAAAUUUGCGAACUCGCCCUACGUGUAAUAGUAUAGUAGCAUAAGUUCUUCCAGAUAUUCGUCUUACUUUUAAUGACAGUAGUGUUAAUUGUUCUGUUAGAAACAUUCAAAUACAGCAUCAAGUUCUAUUUUCGUCGUUAGGGUUCGCAGGCCAAAGAAGAAGAUGAAAAUGAAUCUCCCAGACGGCGGGUGGAUCGAAUCUUCGAACAGCUUGACAAGAACAACGACAACAGACUGACAAUAGAGGAAUUCAAGGAAGGAUCCCGCCAUGAUCCCAAGAUAGUUCAAGCUCUCUCCUUAUACGCUCCUUAAUCCAAAAGCGACCUCUUGUGAAUAUUUUCCGUUAAUUUCUUAUACUCUGUACAUAAAACACUCAACUAAUCUUUAAUUACACUCAGUACGUUUAAUUUUUUGUCAAAGGUUUUUCUGUCUUUUUGAUUCACAAAACACACGUUUUAUUUUUUUAUGUCUCAGAUUCUGAAUUAAAAGAAAGACGUGAUCAUCUCAUGUGGAAUACUUUUAAUAAUUGUCUGUGUCGAGUUGUGUAUACUUUAUCUCAAAACUUACAUGUUCUGAGAUGAAUUCGUAAGAAACUUGUUACGUUUCUGAACAUCAGGGGACCAAGAAGAAUCCAGGAAUGGAAACUCACAGGAAUUCCAACAAGUUCAGUUACGAAUUCUGACACUGGAGGGGGCUUACAGCUGUUUACCUUAAACUCUUCAUGUGCGUGAAUGUUGUAUUAUUUAGAAUACAAUAAAACAUUUAAUCUGCUUAAA